UCCCUGGUGGCUUAGAGGUUAAAAGCGUCUGACUGCAAUGCAGGAGACCUGAGUUCGAUCCCUGGGUUGGGAA
RNAcentral lists this transfer RNA (73 nucleotides) under Bos taurus (domestic cattle). It matches the Rfam family "tRNA". From Rfam's summary of the family: Transfer RNA (tRNA) molecules are approximately 80 nucleotides in length. Their secondary structure includes four short double-helical elements and three loops (D, anti-codon, and T loops). Lineage: Eukaryota; Metazoa; Chordata; Mammalia; Artiodactyla; Bovidae. RNAcentral also lists the same sequence under 1 other name. The record is from Rfam by way of RNAcentral.